Molecule: ribosomal RNA, 712 nt
Filed under: uncultured bacterium
Lineage: Bacteria
Description: bacterial SSU rRNA
Rfam family: Bacterial small subunit ribosomal RNA
Source: RNAcentral
GUGGCGGACGGGUGAGUAACGCGUGAGUAACCUGCCUUUCAGAGGGGGAUAACGUUCUGAAAAGAACGCUAAUACCGCAUAACAUUUCGAGAUCACAUGGUUUUGAAAUCAAAGGAGUAAUCCGCUGAAAGAUGGACUCGCGUCCGAUUAGCUAGUUGGAGGGGUAAAGGCCCACCAAGGCGACGAUCGGUAGCCGGACUGAGAGGUUGAACGGCCACAUUGGGACUGAGACACGGCCCAGACUCCUACGGGAGGCAGCAGUGGGGGAUAUUGCACAAUGGAGGAAACUCUGAUGCAGCAACGCCGCGUGAGGGAAGACGGUUUUCGGAUUGUAAACCUCUGUCUUUAGGGAAGAUAAUGACGGUACCUAAAGAGGAAGCUCCGGCUAACUACGUGCCAGCAGCCGCGGUAAUACGUAGGGAGCAAGCGUUGUCCGGAUUUACUGGGUGUAAAGGGUGCGUAGGCGGAUUGACAAGUCAGUAGUGAAAUCUGGGGGCUUAACCCCCAAACUGCUAUUGAAACUGUUGAUCUUGAGUGAAGUAGAGGUAGGCGGAAUUCCCGGUGUAGCGGUGAAAUGCGUAGAGAUCGGGAGGAACACCAGUGGCGAAGGCGGCCUACUGGGCUUUAACUGACGCUGAGGCACGAAAGCAUGGGUAGCAAACAGGAUUAGAUACCCUGGUAGUCCAUGCCGUAAACGAUGAUUACUAGGUGU